RNAcentral lists this long non-coding RNA (2131 nucleotides) under Salmo salar (Atlantic salmon). Its description in RNAcentral is "lncRNA (ENSSSAG00000117497.1)". The record is from RNAcentral. Lineage: Eukaryota; Metazoa; Chordata; Actinopteri; Salmoniformes; Salmonidae.
UGGGGUUGCUGUUGGACACACCGGACCUGAACCCGGGUAUUUCCUGUUUUUUCUCCCUUCCAAGGCCACCUGAUUCUUGAGAUAGUUUAGUUGACUCUGUACAUUGAGUAUCUGUCCUUCAGUUGUCAGUAGCCCAAGUAACUUUUCUUCUUGUCCUUUUUCCUUGUUUGCUUGCCGGGCCUUUCACAAUUUCCCUUACGACUCGGCAUUUCUCCAAAUCAAAUGAACCCGUUUUGGGAUAAUAUUGAUAUUUUUUUCUUUCUUUCUUUGUCCACUUAUACCAUUUCUCCAAAAAAAAAAAAAACCCACACCAGGUCCUUCUUCAGGAAUGGGUAUUUACCUUGCAGAUACGCGUAGUAUCUGGCUUCGUUGGAGUACGGUCGCUAGGAGCCUCUCUAUAUUCCGUUGCCAUGGUGUUUUAUGGUUGUUUAUUUAACGAACGAGCUGCGUGUAACGUUGGGCUAAGUGGAAUUUUUUUUUUUUCUUCUAUGUGUUGGUCCUUUUUUUUUACGUCACGUUUCCCCCCCACCUGUUUUUAAAUAUUCUACGUGGCUACUCUACCCUCUCUAUCAGUGUGUGUGUGUGGGGGGAGGAGGGUAGUUCCUGUGUGAUACAAGGAAACUCGAUUCUAUUCUAUGUAUGGUCAGUCACUUUUCUUUUAGUUUAACCCCGUUCGUUAAACCACGCUACCGUGUAGAAGGAACGACAUUAUACAUGUACUUAAUGUAAAAUAGGUUUCGCUCUCACUGGAAUAUCUACGAUCUCCGUCUAUUCUUUCAUUAUGGGUGUAUUGGUACAGAUAUUUCAUAUGUGGAUUUUAAUAAUAAUUUUUAAUAAUAAUAAUUGAUUACUAUCAAACGUUCUUUUUUUUAUAAUAAUCCAAAAUCUAAUCUCACACACCUAUUAUCGUGUUGUUGAUUUGGAUAAAACCCAUACACUAUGAUCAAAUGCUUUUAGUUCAAAAACAUUUUUUUGGGGGGGGGGCCCAUCUUCCAAUUUUCCAAUCUCACCAAUUUAUAAAUCAUACAUUUAGAACACAAUACAGAAAUAAACACAAUUAUAGUCCUCCACACAGGUCAGGACAGAAAUAAACACAAUUAUAGUCCUCCACACAGGUCAGGACAGAAAUAAACACAAUUAUAGUCCCCCACACAGGUCAGGGCAGAAUUAAACAAAAUUAUAGUCCUCCACACAGGUCAGGACAGAAAUAAACAAAAUUAUAGUCCUCCACACAGGUCAGGACAGAAAUAAACAAAAUUAUAGUCCUCCACACAGGUCAGGACAGAAAUAAACAAAACAUUGUGUACACAAAACCAGCAUUUUCAACAGGCACGACGGCCUAAACCACAGCUUUAUACCAAGUUUCACACCAGGUCCUGUAACAGUCAGAAAUUCCUAACUAUACACCCGAAAUGGUUUGUGUCCAUAGAUCAACAUUCACAUGUUAACACACCACGGGCUUCUAUAAAUAUAGGUAUCUAUCCACUUCCAUAAUAAUUUACCAACUCAGUUGAGGUGAGUUGACACUUGCAUACUGGAACGAAUCAUCAGAGACACAGUGUUUUAAAUAAAAUUAAAAUAAUCUCAGACUUUUUAGAUUAUAACAGGCGUCUGUUUACCUUGUUAAUUUGAUGUGCAAACACAGUGGGCGAUGGUCCUCCCAGCAGCAAUGGUCACUUACUCCUGGUUAGCUCGCCCAAAAAAUGUUGAAAGGGGGGAGAGAUCCUUUUGCACAGAGUGGUAUACAAGAAGUCCAGUUGGGGAAAUAUGAGAAGAACACAGGCUCCUUUAAAAAAAUUAAAAAAGUUUUUUUAAACUCUUCGUUUAGUUAUAAAUGCAAUCGCAGACAGGAGUUCACAUACAAAAGUACCUCCAGUAAUCUGUAAGGAAAGUUCUGCGAGUGAUCAAACCCAAACACUGGUCCCUAUUUUAAAUUUAUACCAGUUGAUCACACACAUAUGGUGCGAUCAGCCUACACACUUCCUAUGCUAACGCUUUUUCAUAAAAGCGGUUUUUGUACAGUCAUCUUCUAAGACACACGGAUACAUUUGAAUUUAUAACAUGAGCAGAGAACGUUGCAGCUGGAGGGGCGGGGGGGUUUCCCCCAUUGCGGUGCGUUAGUAACUUCCUG